CUUAGGUUGAUGGCAGCGGCAGCUGGGGCUGCAGCGGCGCCGGGCCCUGGAGAGCCGCAGGCAGCGGCUGGAGUGCGGAGCUGGACACCCGGGUCCCAGAUACUACAGACACCCGGAGAGGCGGCUCCUUCGCCCUGACGCCUUCCUCGGCCCCCUACGCACUCGGGCCCCCUCCGCAGAGGAUUCGCAGCUUGAGCGCCCCGCAGCCCGCUCAGGACCAGGGCGACAGCAGCAUUCGGUACUUUGAGAUUACCGACGAGCCGCCUUUCGUGCACUACCUGAACACGUUCAGCAGCAAAGAGCCGCAGCGGGGCAUGGGUUUCAUGCCCAAAAGGGGACUGGAUGUCAGCAAGUGUGAGAUCGCCCGGUUCUACAAGUUACACGAAAGAAAGUGUGAACCUAUCAUCAUGACUGUGCCCCGCAAGUCAGACCUGUUCCAGGACGAUCUGUACCCGGAUACGCCGGGCCCGGAGCCGGCCCUAGAAGCGGACGA
RNAcentral lists this small RNA (493 nucleotides) under Pongo abelii (Sumatran orangutan). Its description in RNAcentral is "processed transcript". The record is from RNAcentral. Lineage: Eukaryota; Metazoa; Chordata; Mammalia; Primates; Hominidae.